This is a non-coding RNA of Ictidomys tridecemlineatus (thirteen-lined ground squirrel), 461 nucleotides long. The record is from RefSeq and is a predicted model, not a curated record. NCBI's taxonomy places the organism in Eukaryota, Metazoa, Chordata, Mammalia, Rodentia, Sciuridae.
UCCAGGGAGAGCCAACCUCCAUGUGAGUAAGCUGACUAUUGUGGCAGCUGCCAUACCAGAGAGAACACAUGGUCAGAGCUCACGGGUGGAACAAAGACCCGUGUCUGGCCAGGAUCCAGGUAUCCAUGCCAACACGGGCAUCAGGACUGUGAAUGAGUGAUUCCCAAAUCUCAAUGGACAAGAGAGCCAGGCACCAUAUUUCCCAUGCCCAACACCAGAGAUGUUAUGGGAUCAUCCAUUGUCUUCUUGGCUGCCUCAUAUCACUUAGAAUGCCCUGAUUCACCAAGGCCACGACAGACAACAUUAUGCAUGCAUUUUAUUUCAGAAACCUGGAAGAAAGGAUUUGCAACGUCUUCACCACGAGGCUAUGAUAAAUGCUUCGGGGGGGACAGAUAUACGUACUCAGAGUGGAACAUUGCACCAUGAAUAUAUGUAACAGAAAGAUCACAGGGUACCUCAUG